Molecule: ribosomal RNA, 254 nt
Filed under: uncultured prokaryote
Description: partial 16S ribosomal RNA
Rfam family: Bacterial small subunit ribosomal RNA
Source: RNAcentral
ACGGGGGGAGCAAGCGUUGUUCGGAUUUACUGGGCGUAAAGGGCGCGUAGGCGGCCACCGCAAGUCGAUUGUGAAAUCUCCGGGCUUAACCCGGAAAGGUCAGUCGAUACUGCGGGGCUAGAGUGCAGAAGGGGCAACUGGAAUUCUCGGUGUAGCGGUGAAAUGCGUAGAUAUCAAGAGGAACACCUGAGGUGAAGACGGGUUGCUGGGCUGACAUUGACGCUGAGGCGCGAAAGCCAGGGGAGCAAACGGGA